AUCUCUGAGUUAGAGUAAACUGUCAAGACUUAAAACUUACUUACUUUACCUUCACCAUGGGACUUGUAACCGUCACUUCUGUCUUUAGUGGUUAAAAGAUAGAACAGUCUAGCCAAGUGCCAUGUCUCUUAUUCUUGAUCAGCUAUAGCUCUGGGGUUUUUGCAGAUUUUCAAAUAAAACUCAGAAAUUCCUUGUAUGAUUCUCUCAGGUCUCUCUUUUGUGGUAUUUUUGGAUCCUUACCAAGGCAUUGAUGGUAUAUGCCUUCUCUCAAGAUAUGUAGUAUUUGUGGUACAAGGCAUAGUGACAUUGCCUUCUCUCUCACCCUACACUAAUAAGGCUUUAAUAUCUGGAGCUCAUAGGUGGGAGAUAAAAUAUACAUACUUACAAGACAUUUAUUGCAUAGUCAAACCAUGGAUCCAAAGAAACAAGCCAAUAAGUUUAAUCAAGAUGUGCAUGUGUGGCGAAUGAAGGUGUAUGGUGAUAACAAUGGUGAAAACAAUGGUGGUGGAAGUCUAAUUCUACUUUGCUCUUUUGAGGGGAUACAUACCUUCCUUGCUUUUGAAACUUUACGAGGAGAAUGAGAUGCUCUUCUUUUACUUGUCUCUCAAGUGGGUAUCUUGCACCCCUAAUUCUACGGUCGGACACUUGUCCAUUUUUACCUCUCGUCUCACUUUUUCUUUUCUUUCGAGGUUCCGAGCACUUGCUCCUUUUUAUUUCCUCGUAUAUAUUAUUUUUUUUUCUUUUUAUUUUUUUUAGAGCACUCAUCUCUUGAGAUAAUAUAGCAAGUGGUAGUAACAAGAUAACUUGAGCAUUUAUUUCACAAGGGGAAAAUAGAAAUAUUUUUGGUUAUUCUCUCCCGGAUUAGGAGUAGAAUAUUUUUAGGUGGUUCUGGAGAUGGAAAUGAAUGGAUAUAUGUGGAUGGUACUUCCGGAGUAGAAGUAGCAUAUAUGAGUGAACGUGCAAGUGAAAUCUUGAUUUAACCACAUGACAAGCUCCUAAGGGUCUACACAGCUUGACCACACUCAAUGCUCAUAAGCAGUAAAUAGUAAAUGUGUGGCUCAAAGUCUAGCAAGCAUGUAUAUAUGGCUGUGGUAGGAAUUUAAGCUCUCAUCAUACAGGAACUCAUCAUGCAACAUUUUAAAGUUUUUAAAGAUAAAAUUCUCCAGAAUUCUAGCAUCUCUAGGAACAGAUAAACAGCAGGUCAACCUUCCCAUAUCGUAUCCGUUAACAACUUAGACUUCAGAUCAAGUUUUCAUCCCAC
Molecule: long non-coding RNA, 1261 nt
Filed under: Sorghum bicolor (sorghum)
Lineage: Eukaryota; Viridiplantae; Streptophyta; Magnoliopsida; Poales; Poaceae
Description: long non-coding RNA (SBIC_LNC014060)
Source: RNAcentral